CCUAAAUAAAAUUUUGAUUAAAAAAAAAACCCCACUAACAAAUGUUUGUAUAUUUUUUUGCUGUCUUUAGAGCAUCCUGGCUUUAAAUCCUCGAACACAAACUAAUGCAGCACUGCACUCCACCUCAGCCAAGAAACUGGGCAAGAAACAUUGGAAAAGAAACCCUGAUAAGAACUGUGUUAAUUGUGAGAAGCUGGAGAAGAAUUUUGAUGACAUCAAGCAUACGACUCUUGGUGAGCGAGGAGCCCUCCGAGAAGCAGUGAGAUGCUUGAAGUGUGCAGAUGCCCCCUGUCAGAAGAGCUGUCCAACAAACCUAGAUGUUAAGUCAUUCAUCACAAGUAUUGCAAACAAGAACUAUUAUGGAGCUGCUAAGAUGAUUUUUUCUGACAACCCUCUUGGUCUUACUUGUGGAAUGGUCUGUCCAACCUCUGAUCUUUGUGUAGGAGGAUGCAAUUUGUAUGCCACUGAAGAGGGACCAAUUAAUAUUGGUGGACUGCAACAGUUUGCUACUGAGGUGUUCAAAGCAAUGAAUAUCCCACAGAUCAGAAAUCCUUCUCUGCCUCCACCAGAAAAAAUGCCUGAAGCUUAUUCUGCAAAAAUUGCUCUUUUUGGUGCUGGGCCUGCCAGUAUAAGUUGUGCUUCCUUCUUGGCUCGCUUGGGCUACUCUAACAUCACUAUAUUUGAAAAACAAGAAUACGUUGGUGGUUUAAGUACUUCUGAAAUCCCUCAGUUCCGGCUGCCAUACGAUGUGGUGAAUUUUGAGAUUGAGCUUAUGAAGGACCUUGGUGUAAAGAUAAGUUGUGGGAAAAGCCUUUCAGCAGAUGACAUGACUCUUAGCACUUUGAAAGAAAAUGGUUACAAAGCUGCUUUCAUUGGAAUAGGUUUGCCAGAACCCAAUAAAGAUUGUAUCUUCCAAGGACUGACUCCGGACCAGGGGUUUUACACAUCCAAAGACUUUUUGCCACUUGUAGCCAAAGGAAGUAAACCAGGAAUGUGCGCCUGUCACUCUCCAUUGCCAUCGAUACGGGGAGCCGCGAUUGUGCUGGGAGCAGGCGACACCGCCUUUGACUGUGCGACAUCAGCUCUGCGCUGUGGAGCCCGCCGCGUGUUCAUCGUCUUCAGAAAAGGCUUUGUUAAUAUAAGAGCCGUCCCCGAGGAGAUGGAGCUUGCAAAGGAAGAAAAGUGUGAAUUUCUGCCUUUCCUGUCCCCACGGAAGGUCAUAGUGAAAGAUGGGAGAAUUGUCGCAAUGCAAUUCGUGCGGACAGAGCAGGACGAGGCAGGAAACUGGAGUGAAGAUGAGGAUCAGAUAGUCCGCCUGAAGGCUGAUGUGGUCAUCAGUGCCUUUGGUUCAGUUCUGAGUGACCCAAAAGUAAAAGAAGCCUUGAGUCCUAUAAAAUUUAACAGGUGGAACCUCCCAGAAGUAGAUCCAGAAACUAUGCAAACCAGUGAGCCAUGGGUGUUUGCAGGCGGUGAUGUUGUUGGUCUGGCUAACACCACAGUGGAGUCCGUGAAUGAUGGGAAGCAAGCAUCUUGGUACAUUCACAAAUAUAUACAGUCACAAUAUGGAGUGUCAGUUUCUGCCACACCUGAGCUGCCCCUCUUCUACACCCCCAUUGACCUGGUGGACAUUAGUGUGGAAAUGGCUGGAUUGAAGUUUACAAACCCUUUUGGUCUUGCUAGCGCCACUCCCGCUACCAGUGCAGCCAUGAUCCGAAGAGCGUUUGAAGCUGGAUGGGGUUUUGCUCUGACCAAAACUUUCUCUCUUGAUAAGGACAUCGUGACAAAUGUUUCACCCAGAAUUGUCCGGGGAACCACCUCUGGCCCCAUGUACGGCCCUGGCCAGAGCUCCUUCCUCAAUAUUGAGCUCAUCAGUGAAAAAACAGCUGCAUAUUGGUGUCAAAGUGUCACAGAGCUAAAGGCUGACUUUCCAGACAACAUUUUGAUCGCCAGCAUCAUGUGUAGUUACAAUAAAAAUGACUGGAUGGAACUCUCCAAAAAGGCUGAGGCUUCUGGAGCAGAUGCCCUGGAGUUGAAUUUGUCAUGUCCACACGGCAUGGGAGAAAGAGGAAUGGGCCUGGCUUGUGGGCAGGAUCCAGAGCUGGUGAGAAGCAUCUGCCGCUGGGUCAGACGAGCUGUUCGGAUUCCUUUCUUUGCCAAGCUGACCCCAAAUGUCACUGAUAUCGUAAGCAUCGCGAGAGCAGCCAAGGAAGGUGGUGCAGAUGGUAUUACAGCCACCAACACUGUCUCAGGUCUGAUGGGAUUGAAAGCCGAUGGCACUCCCUGGCCAGCAGUGGGUACUGGAAGGCGGACCACAUACGGUGGUGUAUCAGGGACAGCAAUCAGACCUAUUGCUUUGAAAGCUGUGACUUCCAUUGCCCGAGCUUUGCCUGGAUUUCCUAUUUUGGCCACUGGUGGAAUUGACUCAGCUGAAAGUGGUCUUCAGUUUCUCCACAGCGGUGCUUCAGUUCUCCAGGUGUGCAGUGCUGUUCAGAAUCAGGACUUCACUGUGGUCGAAGACUAUUGCACUGGCCUCAGAGCUCUGCUUUACCUGAAAAACAUCGAGGAGCUCCAGGACUGGGAUGGGCAGAGUCCAGCCACUGUGAGUCACCAGAAAGGGAAACCGGUUCCACGCAUCCCUGAGCUCAUUGGCAAGGUACGUAGUGGCCUCUCUGGUGUUAUCGUGAGAACUCCACUGUGGUCAAUUUGUCCUUCACAGAUUGCUUGCCUUCCCACAUUCUCCCUCAAACAGGAAAUGUGGUACCUGUUGGAUAUGAUUUCUACAGUAGAAUCAUUCUGAAGCAGGCUUGAUUACAGCUCUAUGAUGGGUCUGCAAGUUACCUUUUUAUAAAACCAAUAUAACACGAGGUCAUAUAAAAGAACAAGACUGAAGUUUGUACUGUAAAGUACCUCCCAAUUCUUGCCAUCUGCACUGCUGCUUGGCAUUCUUGCUAGUGGGAAGCUGACUGGGAAUUUCUUUAUUCUUUAACAAGCCCUGGAAAUUAUAACAUUACCUUUCUAUUUUGAAGACAAUCAAAUCACUGGAGUCCUGAAUACCAUGAUGAAGUUUUUAAAAUUAAAAUCUCAUCAGUAUCUUUUGUAACUGCCUCUGCUGUGUGGUUAAACCUGGGCUCAAAAGGUUACAGCCCAACUUUCUUGCUAACUGCUAUUUUCUGAGAAAUAUACACUACAUUUACAUCUUGUAUAAUACAGUGAUUUUAGCAAUUCUUUUCUAAAACAACAUUCAGCAUUUUGCCUUUGUGUUUCCUUUGUAUUAUUCUAAACAGACAACCAUUGUCAGAAGACAUUUCUUGAGUCCCGACGAGGGGAGAAAAAAAAAUUAUAAUUCUUAGUCUUUUCAGCUUGUCACUACAUCAAUAAUUAACUUUAAAAAAGAGAGAGGCAGUAUAAAAAGAUUCUUUAAGGAAGCAUUUAAUAAUUCAAAUGAAUCUUAACUUGAAACAGGUCACAUGAAAAAGAAUGGAAAACAAAAACCAUGGGUCCUCUCCCUGGGCUGACAGUGAGGAACUCAGAAAGGCUAAGAGAAACAUCACAUCGCUGGCUAUUUUAGGGGAGAAUAUCACUGUCCCUCUCCUAACAGAUAGCAGAAAAUAAAGUAUUCUGGAAGAAUAAUGUGUGUGAUUGCAAGUCUCAUAAUGAAUAAGGAAAGAAGAAAAGAAAUAAAAUCUUACGAUGUGGGUUCCAGGAAAACAUCAUGAUAAGUGACUCUAUGACUGGCAAUCAAACAGAAAGGCUGUGACAUUAAUAUUUAUAAUAUUGUAAUUAGCAAGACAGUGUAACUAAUCAUAUUGUCACAAAUUGGGUCUGUCGUAUUCAGACAGUGACCGUUCUUGCCUUUAUCAAUGACUAUCGAUAGAUACACAUUCACAGAUGACAUUAUCCUGGUUUAAUGUAGAUACCUCAGGAAAAUUAUUUCUGACGUAAGAGUUUAGGGCCGUCUAUAAAAGUAUGGUCUCACAUUUGGGUUGUUGCCAUGUGAACAUGAGCGUAAGUAGCGGCACGGCGCUGUGAUGGUGUCUCUUUAAAGGACUUUCAUCCUCGUUUCAAAACCUAUGUGUUCAAAUAAACGGUGGAUAACGAUGGGAGCCCUUGUGCUGAUCACAGAAAUGGGAAUGGAGUUUCUAACAUUUGAAUCUGAAUUCAGACUCUGUUGGCCGGGCUAGAAUAAAUUACAGUAGAUCCAUAGAAGAAACCAAUUGCACCGCAAGGUUUGACAGUGGAGAGAAAAUGAGACUUUGGCUGUGGAGGAUGAACUUAGCCAAGUUGAUCAUGCUGUCUUUCAAGUAUUGGUAAAUUUAAUACAAUCUCCUCAUGCUUCUCUCCUAUUGAUUGUUUAGACUCUCUGAGCAGUUUCUUUCCAAUGCUUUCGAAGGGCAGGAAGCUAGGUGUUUAUAAUCUCAUGAUAUAAAUUAUUUAAAGUUGGAGCCUACAAGGGUGGAGGCAGCCCUGGGAGGAGCAGUCCUCAGCUUCUCCACACCACAGGGCUGCUGAUCCCAAGCCAGUUGUCUUAACCGAGACAAGCUGGAGAAAAAAUCAGAUCUCCAGGCCCCACCUAUCCAUCCAGAUUCAGUAGGUGGUGUGUCUAGGAACCUGCGUUUUCAUAUCAUGAAUGUGAAGGAGAGACACAAGGGUCUUCGUUGUCAUAAGAGAAGGAAAAGAGAGUCACAGGAAGAGUUAUCAAUGAGCAGGACAUGAACUCCUGAUGGAGAAAGCGAGCAGUGAAUGGUUUAGAGUUGGGAGAGAAAUGAAACCAGAAAAGAGACAAAAGAGGAAAUCCAAGAUUUAACUCUGGAUUCUGAAUGGCUGGAGGUGGGACAGGGCCAGUGAGGAGGCUCUGCAUAGGACAGGGGACACUCACAGAAUGAAGAGCGAGAUCGACCAUUAGGGAUAGGUGCUGCUUUGAUACUGACUAGCUAAACAAGUAACUUCAUCUCCCUAAGUCUAAUUCUAAAACUUUCAAAUGAAGAUGGUCACAGCACAGGCUCAAGAACCCUCAUUAACAAUUCUAUAAACUAAAAGUGCUGAAAUCAAAUGCUUCCACACAGCUCAUUUAGCAGAAACCUGGCCUGAACUGAUGUGGGGCAAGUUGUAAUCUUUAUUUAUUCCUCUUAGAGCACAUUUAAACACAAAGACUAAUAUGUUUGAUUCCAGGUUACCAUCCCACACCUGCUGGGGCUAGACAUGGGACUGGGCAGUAAAAAGGGAUAUGUGAACCAUUUUAUCUUUUAAAAUCCAAAAGACAAUUCCAAUCCUUUUCAUAUGGCUCCAGGGAUUUUAAAUAAGAGCUUGUGAAAAAAUAUCUAAAUGAAAAUAUAACUACCUUUAUCUAGAAAUUCUGCUUCAGAAUUGAAGGCAAACUAUUUAUUUUAGCAAUAGAAAAUAAAAUGUUACCAUAUGACAUUUUCAGGUGUGGGAAAUAAGAAUUAUGUUGAGAUUAUUUACUUGGGAAACAAGAAAGAAAUUGGAUGCUCUAAUGUUUGAACAGCAGACUUCACAAUCAGAAAAGCAUGGAAGCAGAUUUCUUCACUGUUCUGUGCUGGGCUGAGAGCAGGACUCCUAAGCCAGAUACUAAGAGCCCUGGCAGGGAAACAGCAGGCAGGGAUCUGCAUGUGUUUUCACAUGUUGUUCCCUCCCUCUGAAUAGCUUUCCAAUUCACCAAGGAGAAAUUCACAAGCAUGGCCUUCUUUGCAGGACAUCCUAUGACCUCAGCACCAGAAUUUGUUUUCUUUCUCUUCUAGAAUUUCAGUUGCAACACAGCAAAUGAAUAUCAAAUAGCAAUUGAAUUGUUACAUGUCUGUUUCCUCUGCUAGGCAGUAAGUCAGUUAUCUUAUCAUUUUUGC
Molecule: non-coding RNA, 5858 nt
Organism: Castor canadensis (American beaver)
Lineage: Eukaryota; Metazoa; Chordata; Mammalia; Rodentia; Castoridae
Source: RefSeq, a predicted model, not a curated record